This 475-nucleotide ribosomal RNA is filed under the name Bassus sp. indet 1. Its description in RNAcentral is "partial 28S ribosomal RNA". Lineage: Eukaryota; Metazoa; Arthropoda; Insecta; Hymenoptera; Braconidae. The record is from RNAcentral.
AAACCAUUCAGGGGUAAACCUGAGAAACCUAAAAGUUCGAAAAGAGAGAUUCAACGUCAGUAUGUAUUGUAUUCACGUGAGUAGUGAUGUAAGUUUUUAGUAGAGGGGUCAAACCUUUUAUUAAUACUUGCACAUUUUCAUGUUAUUUUAUUGCAAUACUAUUGCCGGCGUGCACUUCUCUCUUAGUAGGACGUCCCGACCCGUUGAGUCUUGGCCUACGGCACAGAUGGGAGCCUUUGGUAUCUCGAUAUCAAAGACCUCUGAUGUAUUCCUGGCUAAAGUACUCGACGGUAGUUAUUUGAUAUGGUGUUGAGCCGCAUUUUCGAAUGCGUCCGGCCUGUCGCAAGUUUUUGAUAUAUUCCGUAUUACUAUAGACUAAGUGCUAUGUAUAUGGUUAUGUCGCUUUGCAUGACUGUGCUUUAGGACUGGCUUAUUUCAUCUGUCAGGGACGCUUAGGCUUUGGGUACUCUCAGGA